This is a long non-coding RNA of Bos taurus (domestic cattle), 1817 nucleotides long. The record is from Ensembl. NCBI's taxonomy places the organism in Eukaryota, Metazoa, Chordata, Mammalia, Artiodactyla, Bovidae.
GGCCCCACAGGCUGCAACAAGUUCCUGGGUGAAGCCAGGGCUGCUGAGCCUUAGACUAUGCUUUCAGUAGCAAAGGCUGGAACAGAAUCGCUUGUCUGCAUGCAUCAUGGAUUUUUUUCAGAGCCUACCAGAAGGCAAGGGAGCAGCUGGAGCGCACACACAAAGCUCCUUUCCAUCCUCAAAAAUAGCUGUGUGUUUUUCUGGGGUGAUCUAAUAGCCUGAGCAGAGAACAUUGUGGCAAUGUCCUUAGUCAUUCAUUCUGAGCGCUUCAUUUGUUCUGGACAAUUACUCGGACUCUCUGCACUUUGAGCUCAGAACUCUCUGUCUCGUCUUGCUCUCUGUGUACUUAGUAACCAAAUAGGCGUUGAAAUUCUUUUUUCCUGCUGUCUUGAGCAGGAUAGAUUUCUCCAGAACUCUUGAGGGUGACACCAAACCAACAACUUCACAUUCUUCAAAAAUGAUCACCGUGUUGUGGUUUGGUUAAUUUAGGGAUGUGAAGGAAGGCUGCAAAUAAACAAACAGGUUCAUUUAAAUUGAUAGUGCAGAGACAAACACAGGACUCUUCCAGCCUUCGUUUUGUCAAUAUAGGACACGUAUACACCAUUGUAUAGUAUAAAUGAAAUGGUAAAUGUAUUUAGCACAGUGUCUAUCUAGCACACAGGAAGCAUCCGAUAUACAGCAGCUAUUAUUAUCAAAAUAUGUACUUGUCAAGCUGUGAGAGUGAACUAACAUGUGAAAAGCACUUAGAAUCGCACACGGCAGAUGCCAAUCACACUACAGCAAUCAUGUAUAUGCAAGUUCGUGUUCCCCUGUGCGCAGUGAGAGCAGAUAAACUGAAAUGUCAGAGUCUGGGGCAGAGAAAGGUUUAUUGCAAGGUCACACAAGGAGACGAGGUGGCUCAUGCCCUGAAAAGCCCUGAGCUCCCUGAAAGGUUUUGGCAGAGCAUUUUUAAAGGGCAGGUGAAGAGGAGGUCGAAAGGUAGUGAUCAGCUUGUGCACGGCCAAUUCUCUGAUUGGCUGAUGUUGAGACAGUCAGGUGGUAUCACAGAGGUUAUCAGUCCUUGGGCUCCAGGAGGCCUGAGGCUGUGUGCUCAUGGUCAGCAAGUACUUCCUCCAUCUGAGGGGGCAGGUGGUUCCCAUCUGCAAAACAGCUCAGGAAAUGUCCAUCAGAUACUAUUAUCUAGGUACUCCAGAUAGGGGCUAAAGCAGAGGGUAUGGCGGCGGGGGCCGUGGUGGUCUGUCCUGGGAAGGCCCCAUAGGGUUCUUGUUGUUCAGUCUCUAAGCCCUGUCCAACUUUUCGCAACCCCAUGAACUGCAGCACGCCAUGCUUCCCUGUCCUUCACUUCCUACCGGAGUUUUUGUUCAGAUUCACGUCCACUGAGUCGGUGAUGCCAUCCAACCAUAGGGUCCUGCUUGGUUAUAAUCAUGUGAUGAUGAUAAUGAGGAAGAGGGUAUAACGAUGAUGAGCUUCCAUUCCCUUUUCUCUCAAUAGAAUUGUCUUCCUAUGAUGAGACUUCAGGAGGAUUAAGGAGGUAAUCUGCUGCAAUGCAGGACACCUGGGUUCCAUCCAUGGGUUGGGAAGAUUCCCUGGAGAAGGGAAUGGCCACCCACUCUAGUGUUCUUGCCUGGAGAACUCCAUGGACAGAGGAGCCUGGCCAGGGUACAGCCCAUGGGUUCGCAAAGAGUCGGACACCACUGAGCAACUAUGCUUGCACUGAAGGAGGUCAGGUAACAUGCUUAAGCUCAUUUUGACAACCAACAAUUACAACGAGGUGAUUCACCAUCAGACCUAAGGAUGAACUUACUAAUAUUAAAAGG